This 410-nucleotide ribosomal RNA is filed under the name Heteracris pulcher. RNAcentral's name for it is "eukaryotic LSU rRNA". The record is from RNAcentral. Lineage: Eukaryota; Metazoa; Arthropoda; Insecta; Orthoptera; Acrididae.
CAAGUACGUGAACUGCUGAACCUAAAUAUCCAGUAUGAGAAAUGAGGAGGAGUAUUAGAGGUUACCACGAAAUAUGUAUAAGUUUAGUCAUUAUUAUGAGUAUAUUAUUUUAUAAUGUAUUAAUAAUGUGCAUUUUUUUCAUAUUGUAAUCUGUUAAUACAAUUUAUAUAUUCUUUUAUAUAUAGAGUCAAUGUAUAAGGUUUAUUUUUAUCAUAACCGCAUAUAAAUUAAUUAAUUUAUUAAUUAAUUGAUGUAAGAUCGAUGAAUUUCUAGAUAAAUAGUUAACAGUUAAGGACAUAUAUAUGUUAUUAAAAUAUAUAACGCUUACAUCCUUUUUUAUGUUUUAUAUCUAAUAUGGACAUUAGUAACAAUGCUCAGGAGACGAUUGCACCAAUAGUAUCUAUUGCCGU